AUCUACGGCCAUGCUACCCUGAACAAACUCAAUCCCGUCUGAUCUCGGAAGCUAAGCAGGGUCGGGCCUAGUUAGUACUUCGAUGGGAGACCAGCUAGGAAUACCAGGUGCUGUAGGCA
RNAcentral lists this ribosomal RNA (119 nucleotides) under Pteropus alecto (black flying fox). The record is from RNAcentral. Lineage: Eukaryota; Metazoa; Chordata; Mammalia; Chiroptera; Pteropodidae.